This is a non-coding RNA of Micropterus salmoides (largemouth bass), 572 nucleotides long. The record is from the annotation of a RefSeq genome assembly. Lineage: Eukaryota; Metazoa; Chordata; Actinopteri; Centrarchiformes; Centrarchidae.
AGACAUGAACCACUGGCUGAGAAACAUCCUGAUUCUGACUCUCUGGCUAGAGUGUAAAGGAGAAGACAGAGUGACCCAGCCAGCAGGAGAUGUCAUUGCUGCUGAAGGAGACACAGUUACACUUGGCUGUACUUUUGAGACCAGUGACAGAAGUCCAACUUUGUUCUGGUACAAACAAGAAGUAAAUGAGUCUCCUAAGUACAUGCUGAAAAGUUACUCAAAAACAACAGAUUUUGCUGCAGAGUUCACGAAAGACAGAUUUAAUGCUACAAUCAAGGAUAAGUCAGUUCCUCUGAAGAUCCAGAAGCUUCAGCUGUCUGACUCUGCUGUGUACUACUGUGCUCUGCAGCCCACAGUGACAGGAAACACCAAAACUCUGUACAAAAACCUUUGGAGCAAAGACAACAGAAUACUCCACAACGUCCACUAGAGGGAGUCACACACUGUUAAACUUCAGUUUAUCAUACAGUCUGGAUUCAUUGCACUGAUGAUGAAAACUAGAAGAAAAAUGAGGCAUUGACAAUAAAAGGAGAGUGUUUGUAGCUCUGACAUACUGACAAUAAGGAGAGUGA